This 253-nucleotide ribosomal RNA is filed under the name uncultured bacterium. Its description in RNAcentral is "partial 16S ribosomal RNA". It matches the Rfam family "Bacterial small subunit ribosomal RNA", at positions 524 to 776 of the family's 1533-position model. The record is from RNAcentral.
GACAGAGGGUGCAAACGUUGUUCGGAAUUACUGGGCGUAAAGCGUGCGUAGGUGGUUUGUUAAGUCUGUUGUGAAAGCCCCGGGCUCAACCUGGGAAUGGCAAUGGAUACUGGCAGGCUAGAGUGCGGUAGAGGGUAGUGGAAUUCCCGGUGUAGCGGUGAAAUGCGUAGAGAUCGGGAGGAACACCAGUGGCGAAGGCGGCUACCUGGACCAGCACUGACACUGAGGCACGAAAGCGUGGGGAGCAAACAGG